AACGAACGCUGGCGGCAUGCCUAACACAUGCAAGUCGAACGAGACCUUCGGGUCUAGUGGCGCACGGGUGCGUAACGCGUGGGAACCUUCCCUUAGGCUCGGAAUACCUCCCCGACAGGGGUGCUAAUACCGGAUAAUUUCUUCGGACCAAAGAUUCAUCGUCCUUGUAUGGGCGCGCGUUGUAUUAGCUUGUUGGUAGUGUAAAAGCCUACCACGGCGACGAUCCAUAGCUGGUCAGAGAGGAAGAGCAGCCACACUGGGAGUGGGACACGGCCCGGACUAUUAGGGGAGGGGGCAGUGGGGAAUAUAGGACAACGGGCGAAGGGCAGAACCAGCAAGGGCGGGAGAGUGAUGAAGUCCGGAGAGAUGUAAAGCUCGUUUACCCGGGAUGAUAAUGACAGUACCGAGAGAAUAAGCACCGGCUAACUCCGUG
RNAcentral lists this ribosomal RNA (433 nucleotides) under uncultured bacterium. RNAcentral's name for it is "partial 16S ribosomal RNA". It matches the Rfam family "Bacterial small subunit ribosomal RNA", at positions 29 to 507 of the family's 1533-position model. The record is from RNAcentral.